AAUGGGCGCAAGCUUGAUCUAGCCAUGCCGCGUGAGUGAUGAAGGCCUUAGGGUCGUAAAGCUCUUUCGCCAGGGAUGAUAAUGACAGUACCUGGUAAAGAAACCCCGGCUAACUCCGUGCCAGCAGCCGCGGUAAUACGGAGGGGGUCAGCGUUGUUCGGAAUUACUGGGCGUAAAGCGCGCGUAGGCGGACUAUUAAGUCAGGGGUGAAAUCCCGGGGCUCAACCCCGGAACUGCCCUUGAUACUGGUAGUCUUGAGUUCGAGAGAGGUGAGUGGAAUUCCGAGUGUAGAGGUGAAAUUCGUAGAUAUUCGGAGGAACACCAGUGGCGAAGGCGGCUCACUGGCUCGAUACUGACGCUGAGGUGCGAAAGUGUGGGGAGCAAACAGGAUU
This 392-nucleotide ribosomal RNA is filed under the name uncultured Gammaproteobacteria bacterium. RNAcentral describes it as "bacterial SSU rRNA". It matches the Rfam family "Bacterial small subunit ribosomal RNA", at positions 370 to 779 of the family's 1533-position model. The record is from RNAcentral. Lineage: Bacteria; Pseudomonadati; Pseudomonadota; Gammaproteobacteria.